This 373-nucleotide ribosomal RNA is filed under the name uncultured eukaryote. Its description in RNAcentral is "partial 18S ribosomal RNA". It matches the Rfam family "Eukaryotic small subunit ribosomal RNA", at positions 592 to 976 of the family's 1831-position model. The record is from RNAcentral.
CAAUAGCGUAUAUUAAAGUUGUUGCAGUUAAAAAGCUCGUAGUUGAAUUUUUGCUUGCCGCCGAUGUCGGAACUUCCGUACGUUCGGCGGCGUGCAUCAUUGGGUGGAACCUGUGUGGCAUUAGGUUGUCGUGCAGGGGAUGCUCAUCGUUUACUGUGAAAAAAUUAGAGUGUUCAAAGCAGGCUUACGCCGUUGAAUAUAUUAGCAUGGAAUAAUAAGAUAGGACCUUGGUACUAUUUUGUUGGUUUGCGCACCGAGGUAAUGAUUAACAGGGACAGUUGGGGGUAUUCGUAUUCCAUUGUCAGAGGUGAAAUUCUUGGAUUUCUGGAAGACGAACUACUGCGAAAGCAUUUACCAAGGAUGUUUUCAUUAA